AAAGAACCUAAAGUCACAAUUUAUUGCAACUCGGAGCCUUUUAAAAACAACGACUGCUUUAGCAGAGCUGGGGGGAAGAGAGGUUGUGCGUGCAGUCAAAGCCGUAAACGCAAGCCUUAGCCUGAAAAAAGAAAUAAAUGGACUAAAGCACCAGGGCUGGCUCUGACAGGAAGUGGGGACUCGGGACUUCAAAUACAAACAUUAUGAAAAACAAGCAACAUCUGCAAACAAUGGCGCCUUAAUUUAUAAACAAGUUGGAAAAGCAGAGGGAACAGAAAGGCAGCACCUCCAGGGCAAGCUGCAGCAGCCUUUCAAGGAAGGAAGAGGCACUUUGCCCGGGAGAGAACCAAUCCAUUACUGGAAGGAGACGCCCUGACCCCAUUAGCUGGGCAGACGUGUGUUUGAACUGGAGACCUCUGAGCAUCCUCAAUCCAGGAUGAGCAGCUCAGGCCGCUGCGUCAGACAGGGCGCAUCCUCAGCCAUCCUCCACGCGCUGCUCUGUACCACAGGGGCAACGUGCAGCUGAGAGGUCGGUGUGCCCGCAGUGUGAUUAAAAUGAGCGAGCAUAAAGGUAUGCAGAUAAAUAAAAAAGCCUGGGCAGUGUUACUUGUUUAAAAAUCAGCACUGGGAAGAAAUCCUGUAUGGUCUGUGAUUCUGAUAUUAGCAUGUUCUAAAAAAUUAGCCUGCAACAUGGAAUUUUUAAAAAGGAUUGCUCUGUUCUCAGCCUGUUUUAUUUGUGUUUGAUUCCAGAGCUCCGAGAAUACUGAAGCUGCAUAAUAUGAGAGUUUGUAACCUUUAAAAGUGGAAAUGUCAUAACUUAGUCUUAGGUAGUUAAUUGUGG
This 841-nucleotide long non-coding RNA is filed under the name Gallus gallus (chicken). RNAcentral describes it as "lncRNA (ENSGALG00010025596.1)". The record is from RNAcentral. Lineage: Eukaryota; Metazoa; Chordata; Aves; Galliformes; Phasianidae.